AAGCGAAUAGAGUCGACGAAACCUGUCUUCCAUCAUUCAACCGAUCAGCUCUGCGGUCUGUCACCGCGCUACCGUACGCAACACUGCGGAGUGUGUCGGUGGUGGUCACUGCUGAGUGGAGCUAGGCCUGUGUGAUCGGUGCAUUUGAUGGCGGUAUGCGCCGAGAGCCGCGUCACGGUGUGCGUCAACGUCUGCCUGGUGCAGUGGACCGUUGUACGUCUUCGGACGGGCGGAAACCUGCAUUCGACCGAGGCGCAUCACAGAUGCGGUGAACAGCCGUGUACAGCAGUCCCCAGGCGCUUGCCCGCGCCUUGCGCCUGUCGGCCUGACCGUGUGGCGGUGCGUACUGCGAGUGCUUCGCGGCGCGCAGUGCGUCCGUUUGCGGUCUGGCCACGGUCGUUUUGUGUGCGUUGGGACUGUGCCUCGGUGUGAGUGUCGAUCACCUAUUCGACCCGUCUUGAAACACGGACCAAGGAGUCUAGCAUAUGCGCAAGUUAUUGGGUGGUAAACCCGGAGAAAACGCAAUGAAAGUGAAAUCGGCCGUUCUGACGGUCGCAAACUGUGAGCCAGUCGACUCCGUCGGGCGCAACAGUGCCCCGUCUCGGUUGCCGUUGGCAACGGGGCGGAGGUAGAGCGUGUAUGCUGGGACCCGAAAGAUGGUGAACUAUGCCUGAGCAGGAUGAAGCCAGAGGAAACUCUGGU
RNAcentral lists this ribosomal RNA (702 nucleotides) under Rhabdochona osorioi. Its description in RNAcentral is "partial 28S ribosomal RNA". It matches the Rfam family "Eukaryotic large subunit ribosomal RNA", at positions 417 to 868 of the family's 3401-position model. The record is from RNAcentral. Lineage: Eukaryota; Metazoa; Nematoda; Chromadorea; Rhabditida; Rhabdochonidae.